ACGAGACAACUUUUUUUUUUUGUUCAGUUCGGUUUUUCUUUUUUCUUUUUUUCUUUUCGUU
RNAcentral lists this non-coding RNA (61 nucleotides) under Gloeochaete wittrockiana. Lineage: Eukaryota; Glaucocystophyceae; Gloeochaetales; Gloeochaetaceae. The record is from RNAcentral.